GUGAGUCAUCGAAUCUUUGAACGCACAUUGCGCCCCUUGGCAUUCCGAGGGGCAUGCCCGUUCGAGCGUCAUUAUAACCCUCAAGGCCUAGCCUUGGUGUUGGGGCCUGCUGUUACCGGUAGCCCUUAAAAUCAGUGGCGGCGCCAUCUGGCUCUAAGCGUAGUAAUACUUCUCGCUACAGGGUCCGGUGGAUGCUUGCUAGCAACCCCUAAUUUUCUAUGGUUGACCUCGGAUCGGGUAGGGAUACCCGCUGAACUUAAGCAUAUCAAUAAGCGGAGGA
RNAcentral lists this unclassified non-coding RNA (280 nucleotides) under Helotiales sp. RNAcentral's name for it is "partial contains 5.8S ribosomal RNA, internal transcribed spacer 2, and large subunit ribosomal RNA". The stretch from base 1 to 71 matches the Rfam family "5.8S ribosomal RNA", at positions 84 to 154 of the family's 154-position model. The record is from RNAcentral. Lineage: Eukaryota; Fungi; Ascomycota; Leotiomycetes; Helotiales.